RNAcentral lists this ribosomal RNA (439 nucleotides) under uncultured bacterium. RNAcentral describes it as "partial 16S ribosomal RNA". It matches the Rfam family "Bacterial small subunit ribosomal RNA", at positions 339 to 795 of the family's 1533-position model. The record is from RNAcentral.
CUACGGGGCGCAGCAGUGAGGAAUAUUGCACAAUGGGGGGAACCCUGAUGCAGCAACGCCGCGUGGAGGAUGACGCAUUUCGGUGUGUAAACUCCUUUUAUAUGUCAAGAAAAUGACGGUAGCAUAUGAAUAAGCACCGGCUAACUCCGUGCCAGCAGCCGCGGUAAUACGGAGGGUGCAAGCGUUACUCGGAAUCACUGGGCGUAAAGGACGCGUAGGCGGGUUGGAAAGUCAGGCGUGAAAUCCUACAGCUUAACUGUAGAACUGCACUUGAAACUUCUAAUCUUGAGUAUGGGAGGGGGAGAUGGAAUUAGUGGUGUAGGGGUAAAAUCCGUAGAUAUCACUAGGAAUACCUAAAGCGAAGGCGAUCUCCUGGAACAUUACUGACGCUAAGGCGUGAAAGCGUGGGGAGCAAACAGGAUUAGAUACCCCGGUAGUC